UCCCAUUCUACCUCACACUUGCAAGAUCAAACACAACAUCGCUUCUUCUGUGAUGUCAGAGUCCCCAGGCCAAUCAAAUCAGAAUCUCUAGGAGUGGGUCCCUGAUGCUCAUGCUUUUUAGGAGGGCAUCACCCAUCAUCCCAAUAAGCAGCCAGAAUUGGAAACCACCGCCAGGAGCCUUUCCCCUCCCUUGGGCAGCUUCUUCCAUCUUGAGAACAUCUUUGUGCCUUGCAAUACCAGCGUUCAUUCUCACAUCCACGAUGAAGGAACUGAGCUCCGCAGGGUGAGACACUUCAGUGGUACAGCUGGAUUAUUCUCAGCAACUGACACAAGAACAGAAAACCAAACACUGCAUGUUCUCACUGAUAAACAGAUAAGUGAAUACAACUGAUAAGAAAGGCCAACAAGGAAGGGGGAAGGCAAAGGAGGCCACAGGCUUCAGCUCUGAUGUUAAGACCCUGUGAAGGAUGUUUUCCAGGCUCCCUUCUCACCUGGCUCCCUGCCAGAUCCUGUCGAUGGGAGGCACAGGGGAACAGCCAGUGGGAGGAGAGCUCAACUCCUGUGGGAUACCCCUCCAGCAGCUGCAGAGAAAGCUGGCCCUCAGGCACCCCUGCUGUGAUUUGACUGGGGCUGCCAGAUGCCCCAAGCAGGACUCUGUCUCCCCUCCCUGAGGGCUAUGCCUGAGCCACAGCGGGUACCUGCCAGGAAGGUUCUGGUAACAUUGCCUUUUCCCUUUUGUUGUCUUGGUCCCAGGGGUGGUGGCUGCUUCUUGCAGUUACUAGUCUCUGGGUUACCUUGGUGUCCACCUUGUGCUCUUUCUUUUUUUCACUUGUUUUACUGAUUCCUUGCAUUAAAUCUGCUCCCUGAAAUUCUUAGAAUGGUUUUUUUUUGCUGACGGGACCCCGGGCUGAUAGGACAAUGAAACUGGGAGGUUAAACAGGAGACUGACUGUACCUCUCUGCACUGAGUGGUUGAAUUUACUUCUUAUCUGCACUGAGGUCCCUAUUCCUUUGGGACAGUUCCAAGUCCACCUUAUCCCCGUGUUCUAAGGCUAUCUAUUCAAUUGCCUUUCACAAGAAGCCCCAGGCAAGGUGUGAGAGGUCCGCCCAGACUCAGCCCACAUUCUGAUUUCUCAGAAGCAGUUUAGGGCCAAACUUUCCACGCUGAGGAUAACUGCAUGAUUCUAAAAAAAGAGUAUUAAAACAAAAACAUAAACAACUU
Callithrix jacchus (white-tufted-ear marmoset) is the source of this 1221-nucleotide non-coding RNA. Lineage: Eukaryota; Metazoa; Chordata; Mammalia; Primates; Cebidae. The record is from RefSeq and is a predicted model, not a curated record.